CGGACAGGGGGGUUCCUGCCGGCCGGCAGGGCCUGUCCGAUCAGGUCGCGUACGUGCGUGACCAGUGGUUGUCGCUCGGGGGUGAUCGCCG
Molecule: small RNA, 91 nt
Organism: Streptomyces sp. CB01249
Lineage: Bacteria; Bacillati; Actinomycetota; Actinomycetes; Kitasatosporales; Streptomycetaceae
Rfam family: che1 RNA
Source: Rfam